Molecule: long non-coding RNA, 17188 nt
Filed under: Lactuca sativa (garden lettuce)
Lineage: Eukaryota; Viridiplantae; Streptophyta; Magnoliopsida; Asterales; Asteraceae
Description: long non-coding RNA (LSAT_LNC004118)
Source: RNAcentral
GAAUAAAGUGCGAGAGUAGGUUGCAUUAAGCCUUAUAACCCUGAUCUCGAAGAGAUUAUAGACUUGACACCAGUGUAGGUGUUAGUCGAUGGGUUAUACAAGAGCACACGCUUUCCGCACUAAAAUAAACCAACGAAUUUGAGAAUAGGACAUGUCUUAGAAGUUCAUUAGACUACUAGGUGUUUCAUGUAUACUAUCUCGCAUAGAAAUAGUAGAACCACCUCUCGAGAUAGCCCAACACUCGUCUAGUGAAACCCUAUCUCCCCGACACUGAGGGUUUCCUUUAAAAACAUCUCCAGAAUCAGAAGUGCAGGUUCAUUUGCACAAGAUUGAGAUAGACACUCUGCAACAAACAGAUACCCAUAGACACACAAUCCAUCCGAUGAUCUAGAAAAUCUCGGAGACCCAAUCAACAUGAACAUGAAUCCAAGGACAACCCGAGCUUUCUAUGAAACAACCUGAAGCACUACACUUCCAGUAUGAGAGAGAACGUUGGAACUUCGGAAUGGCGAUCACGCCAGUGAUGAUCUUGCCAUAGAAGUACACUAUGUUCUAAGUACUGAAAAGCUCUACCCUUCUGAGAGCUUAGAACCAUCCAAUAUUCUUUACGGAGAUUGGUCCAACCAUCAUCAGACCACUACUACUUUCAGAAAUUCCACAAGUUUUACCACAGAUCAAUCCACUUCUUAGACAUUGAUAAGUGUUUUCCCGACGUCACUCUUUGUAUCCCACUCAACUUUAUAAAAACCAUUGGGAACCCCAACUUCGUAGAUGAACCUCUAGUAAUUGCUAUCGGCACGAGACAGAAUCCGCAUCCCGUAAGUGAAGUUUUCUUAGAACGCCAAGCAAAGGCCAGAGUUCACUUGGGAGUGCAAGGACCAGCCUAAUAGGAUGUACCCUCAUCUUAUUAAUUAAUCAUUCAUACCUACUUCUUUGCCUAAACCAGAAUUUCGCGGCGAAAUUCCAUCUAAAGGGGGAAUGAUAUGACAACCCAAAAAUUUCCGUUAGUUUUUACAUCGAAAUUAACGUCGAAAUUAAUUACGUCAAAAAUUAGCCAAAUUUAUCCCGAAAAUAUUUUUGACCGGAUUUAAACCCGUUGGAAUAUUUUAAUUAAUAUUCGUCAAGUGAAAAUAAAAACACGUAAAUUAUCUUUCCAUUUAUUUGGAAAAAGUUUAUUUUUUUUUACGGCCAUUUAACCGGGUAAAAAUUUUAAACCUCGUUAACCAUAAGUAUCGGUUACUCGUAUACCGUGUACAACACCCAAGCCCUAUAUAAGGGUGGGUGGACACUCCUUAGAAGCCUUUUCCCACCUUAGACUCUCUAUCUCUCUACUUUCUAUCUCUACAAACGCGUUUUGGUCAAAAAUCACCCCUCCGAGCCUCAAAUCGGUAAGUAAACCUUCCUAGCUUGUUAUCUAACUUAUCUAGCUUGCAAAUUCGUGACUUAAUCAUGCAAAAACCCGAAGAACAUGAUUUUACGGUCUUCGGAGCCUCCCGAAACCAUAAACCUCUUUGAUGAGGGUUUUAAUGCUCAAAAAACCUUCCAAAACAAUUCUCAUGCUUAGCAAUAGCUUAGAGGCUUACCCAAAAGAACUUAGAACACCAAAAUCGGACCAAAUUGCGAGUAAACAUGAGUUCAUGGUCUAAGGAUGCUCUUAGACCGUAAAACCAUGUUCAUGGACCAUAAACACCUUUUAAGGUGUUAAACUACCCCUAAAACACCUCCAAAAGCUUCCAUGAGUGCUUAGAGCCUUAUAAUCCUUCGUUUGAUGCACCAAAACAUAGGGUUCAUGGACAAAAUGAGUUUAGUACCGUAAACUCAUGUGUUUAAGGUACAAAACUCCCCAAGAGCAUUUCUUAGACCUUAAACACCUUUCCAAGGUGUUUAAGUGCCCUAAACACCUUCCUAUGCUCCUAAAAGUGACUAGAACCUUACAUGCAUGAGGUAGAACCACCAAACAACAAAAGAAAUGGAACAACAUGAGUUUACUACCGUAAACUCAUGUGUUUACGGUCAUAAACUCCUGAAGGAGUAUUCAUAGGCCGUAAACUCCUUUAAUGGUCCAUUUUGAAGCAUUAAACACUUCAUAAGCCCUAGAAUUGAACCUAGCCUAAUUCCACGAGUGUUAUAAGACCUUAAUGCAUCAAAGAACACAUCAUCCAUGAGUUUACGGCUGUAAACUCAUGGAAAUAAGGUCUUAGGGCCGUAAACUCUAUAAAGAGUUCACUCUUGAAGAGUAAACUCCCUAUCUAGGCCAUACACACCAGGUCGUGAUUUUCUUAAAUGUAAUGGUUUUCCAAAAUUUUCAUCAAAGUUUCCUUCCAUGUGUUUAUACUCCUACUUCGUUAGAUACUACUGCUUCAUUAUACUUUUACUUAGUUAAUGCUCCUACUUAGUUAAAUGCUACUACUUUGUUAACGCUUCUACUUAGUGAUACACUUCGACUUGUUAACGCUUCUACUUAGUGGUACGCUUCUACUUGUUAACGCUUCUACUUAGUGAUACACUUCUACUUGUUAACGCUUCUACUUAGUGAUACACUUCUACUUGUUAAAGCUUCUACUUAGUGAUACGCUUCUACUUGUUAACGCUUUUACUUCGUGAUACGCUUCUACUUCAUGAUACGCUUCUAUUUGUUAACGCUUCUACUUCGUGAAACACUUCUACUUCGAUAAACACUUCAACUUCGUUAAAUGCUUCUACUUAGUUAAAUGUACGCUUGUACUUGUAUAGUUAUAUAAAUAAUGUUUAAAUGACUUAGGAAGGCUAGUUCGCCCUAUUUCCUUUUCCUCGUUGGGAUGUUGUCUGGUGGGAUCGGAUAUCCGUCCGAAGGUCGUUUGAUCAUUAAUUAUAUAUUAUGUAUACAGGUAUAGACAUAUAGGUUUACGUCGGUCAGUUUAUUUGUGAGUCUCUAUCAUUAGUCCAAUAUUUACAUCAGAACUCACUACACAAGAUGCAUCUUCAGGACACGACCUUCUUCGUUGUCUAGUUGGUAACCAGGGUCUCCUGUAAGGAGAGCGGGCAUUAUGUGUAUAGAUCUAUACGGGAUUGACACCCCCACACCCUGACUGCUAGCUACAGUCCAGGACCUACCAAGCUAAAGGGUGACAAAUGUCACAUUCUUUCCGACGCUUGCAUGGCGUCAAGUUCUCUAAUGUCUAUCAGUACUGUUACGGGUAUCUCAGGGUUACCUUAUAAUUGAUGGCCUUAAGGUAACGGGAAUUAACACUUAAUUCACUGUUUUAGACCUUGCUAGACGUAUCAUUCAUUUGAUACUGUCUGGGGUCUGUAUUCACUGUUUUAGACCUUUGUAGACGUAUCAUUCAUUUGAUAUUGUCCGUGGUCUGUAUUCACUGUUUUUAGACCUUGCUAGACGUAUCAUUCAUUUGAUACUGUCUGGGGUCUGUGUCUCCUUUUGUUAGACUGAGCCAGGCGUGUCGUUCACUCGAUGCUCUCCUGGAGUCUAUGAUUUCUUUGCCUUAGUCAGCAGUAUCUUCUGCUGAGGCAUAUGUUAUUUUCCCUAAUGAUUUUACUUGUGAUAUCCUUCUACUUCCUUUAAAAUCAACUACUGUAUUAUGGUAAUCAUAGUAUUCCAGGGAAAAUUACUCUUUAAAAACAUAACACUGUCGGGUCUUGGUAGAAGACUACUUUUAUUUAGAAAAUAUAGGAUUUUCUGGAAAGAACUCUAAUACACUGUUGACUCUGAACUACUACUUUUUAUAAAGUUAAUUGAAUAAAAUGACACUAAAUACUUAUGAACUCACCAGCAUUUAUAAAAAUGCUGAUACUCGCUUUCAAGUAACUUGUAUUCUCAGGUCAGGAAUAGACAGGUACUGUCAUACCCCAAAACCAAGAACGGCGGAAACGUUCCGGGGUGGAGGACGUCAUGUGAAGUAUCAUAACAGUGUAAAGUAGUAAACUAGCAACAAAAUCAUCCAUUGCAUUAAAAGUAAUGUUUUAAUACAUGUGUGUUCUUUCAUAAUGUACAACAAUAAAAUGAAUAAUCAAAAUAAGAUGAGUCUUGUCAAUGCUCCAUCUUCUCAAAAACGUGGCAAACGCACCUGUCUAACUGAUGACCUGAGAAUAGAAGUUAUUUUGAAAGUGAGUAUCAGCUUUAAAGCUGGUGAAUUCAUAAGUAUUUGGGUGUUAUUGUCCUGUUUUAGAAUGCUGUUAAGAAUGUCGUAUAAAUCUUUAAAUAGAACAGUUGAUAUAAGUAUGAAAUGUGGUCUUCUACCAAGACCGGAAUGUUUUGUAAGUAAAAUGAUGGUUUUUCCUUUCUAUUGACUAGUACUAAAAGUACAUAGUCUAACUCUUUGUUUAUGUGAAUGUAUCACAAAAUAAAGCAAAAUAGGAAAAUGAUAUGAUAGUCUUCUACCAAGACCUAAAUGUUCUAUAAGUAAAAUGAUAGUUUUUCCUUUCUAUUGACUAGUACUAAAAGUACUUAGUCUAACUCAUCGUUUAUGUGAAUGUAUCACAAAAUAAAGUAAACAGGUAAAAUGAUAUGAUAGUCUUCUACCAAGACCUAAAUGUUCUGUAAGUAAAAUGAUAGUUUUUCCUUUCUAUUGACUAGUACUAAAAGUACCUAGCCUAAAUCAUCGUUUACGAGAAUGUAUCACAAAAUAAAGUAAACAGGUAAAAUGAUAUGAUAGUCUUCUACCAAGACCUAAAUGUUCUGUAAGUAAAAUGAUAGUUUUUCCUUUCUAUUGACUACUACUAAAAGUACUUAGUCUAACUCAUCGUUUAUGUGAAUGUAUCACAAAAUAAAGUAAAAUGGGAAAAUAUAACCAUGUAAGUGUUAUCCCUGGUAACCUGGACUAAGACGCCAUCACAAUAAGCGGCAUGUAUAAGCUAAUGAGCAUCCGAAGAUUGUCCAAUUGUGCUCUGUAGCAGCAGCAGGUUGGAGGAAGGGUUAGUCCCGUGGCUGACUCCUAAUAUAAGUGUUAACCUAAUAAUCAUCCGAAGAUUUUCAUCUCAUCCUCUGUUGCAACAGCAGGAUGGAAGGAUGGUUAGUCCUGUCACUAAUUCCUAAUAUAAGUAACAACCUUAGACAUCACUAGAUGUUCAUCACCCAGUGGUGCUAACAGCUGGUUUCCGGAAUGGUUAGUCCCGUCUAGAGAACACGUCGAAAGGGAUAGGCAAGAAAAUUUACACAGAAGGUACGAAUAAAUCUUCCUCGUAACUCUUGGUACAAGUAUCCAGGUAAGUGAAUACAGGAUAAUGUAUCUAAGUAACAGUACUCAUGUAUGGCAUUCAUGUAAGCGUAUUUAGAUAAAUGUAGUUAUGUAAACGUACUCAUGUGUCAUGUAAUCCUAGAUUAAUUUACUCAUGUAUUAUGUAAGCAUAUAUAAGUGUACUGGUAUAGACUCAUGAAUGAACUGACUCCUGUGUGUUUCCUUGUAAAUAGGAAUAAUGUUUUGUUUCUUCUAACUAUACCUAUGAUAAUUAACUGGAAAUUAAUUGGUUGUUCAAGUAGAUUUAUGCACCCUCAUUACACCAGGGUGUGGGAAACUGAUCGAAGGAUGAAAACUAUAACAUCAAUACAUAUAUAAGAGCAUAUGUGUAUAAGUGUAGUUUUGCUCAAGAAGGUAAAAAUAAUGGUUUUGUAAGAUAUCUAGGUGUUUUGAACAAUAAUUAAGAGUGAGUUGAUGUCAUUUUAAUAAACAUUUCAAAACUAAUACUUUUGUUAUCAAGGUAUUUUAAGAUAGAAAACCAUUUCGUGUGUCACCUUUUGAAUUAUGUGAAAUCUACUUAGUGAAAACACAGUUAUAAAAUACAUAAAAUUGAUUUAAUAACAUACUAUUUUCUACUUGUAUUCCCCCCCCCCCCCCCCCCCUAAAACNAGCAUUUAAAAUCAUUUAAAACGUUGAUUAAGGGGUAUGAACUCACCUGUAGAUGGUGGUAUGGAUGAACUGGACGGCGUAGGAUUGUUAGGUGUCAAGUGAGGACUUAUACACACACUACGAUCCUAGUGAACAUAUAAUCACACAUAUAUGCACUCAAUUAGUACUAAAUUACUAAUUGAUAAUGUUAAGACAUCCUAUAACAUAAUAAACACUUUAUAUAAGUGUUUUAAGCCCUAAGGAUUGCACCUAAGCUAUUGUGGGACAAGGUACUUGGGUUUAGGGUUCCAAAGUACCCUAUACUUGAGUCUACUCUCCAUAUAGCCGUUGUAAAAUAUUGAGUUUAUGGUCGUGAACUUCCAAUCAUGGAGAUAUUUUGUGUUUUGAAGUCCCAGAUGAUCCCUAGAAUUAUUCCAACUUGGUGGUUUAUAUCUUGGAAGGGUUUAAGGCAUAGAAACACCCCUUUGAGUAGUUUACGGCCUUAAGGCCAUUUCCUUUAGAGUUUGUGGCCGUAAAUUCUUAAGGAUGGGUGUUUUUGAUGCUUUCAAGUCUCAUACACAUGUAGUAUAGGUCUUAAACUUUUAUCCCAAGCAUAUGAAGGCCUUAGGCACACUUUGGUGCCCUUCUUUGAUGUUUACGGCCGAAGAUCUUUAUUAGGGCCGUAAUCAUCCAAAAUGAUGUGUUUUUGAUGUGUUUUGGUCCUUGAUUUAAGUAGAAACAAUUUUUAGUAAAUGUCUAAGGCUUUAGGUGCCUUAAAGCACCCUUUUGUCCACGAUUUUGGAGUUCACGGUCCAAGAUCUUCUUGGGCAGUGAACACCUAAACAUGGGUGAAUCUUUGUUGUUUUGUUGUCCCUAAUACACUUCUAUACAAGUCCAAGGUAGUAUCAUAUCACAAGGGAAGGUCUAGGCAUUGUUUCGGGAGUUUACCGCCCAAGAACACCUUGGGGAGUAAACUCCUAAAUCAAGUUAUUUAGCUAUCUAAAUCAUGUUGUAAACACAUUAAAAAGCUUUAUAACACUACUAGAGAGAGUUACUCACGUUUUGGUAUAAAACCUGAAGAUCCGUGAGUGAGAAAAUGGCUUUUCUCUAGUUGGAAAUGAGAAUAAUGAAUGAAUUUGGUUCAGAAUUCUAUUUAUAGUCCUGAGAUAUUUUUGGCAGAAAAUAUUUUUAUUCCUGAAAUGAUUUCCAAUAUAAUAGAGUGUUGGAAUAACAGUGUUGCACAAAACCCUAGUGCAUCCACUCUCUUGAUAUUUCCUGAAGUGUAAACCCUAAAGUAGUCAAACUUAUACUAAAAAGUAUGAAAAUCAACUGUGACUGUUAUAACUUCUAUUGAAGUGAUAUAGUUUGUUCAGAAUGGAAAUUUUGGGUUGUCACAUCAUCCCCCUGUUAAAGGGAAUUUCGUCCCGAAAUUAGAAUUUAGGCAAGGAAAUAGGUACGAAUGAUCGAGUUGUUAUGUGAACUUCCUAAUCGAUUGGUUCUCGCACACCUAAGUAAAAUCGGGUUCUCGGUUGGUAUCCCAACGAACCUUCACUAACGGGCGAUGGCUCUGCUUCGUCCGCUUGACCACUUGGUUGAGCGUCACAACGGUUCUAAUACGAAGGCGAGGAUCUAAUUAAUCUCGAUUUCUUCAUGUGGGCUUACGAGAGUCCUAACGGAAAGGUAUUGUUUAAAAAUUGAGACGCGAAGGGUAACAUGUACGUUACUGAGUUCCCAGAGUAGAUCUAGUCGGUGAGAUGCAAGACCGAUUCUUGUAGGAAUUUCGGAGGUCCUAACUAUAUCGGAUUUAGCUUUCCACGCCUUACGAAGCGUAUUUAAGCCAUUCCCAAAGUGAGGUUUCUUAAAGAAUUUGGUCUCUCACUUGGUAUUCCAAAGGUUCUUUCUAUUGCUUAACUUCCCAGUCAAGGGCCACCCCUCGCUGGGUCAAAGUCAAAAGGGGUUCUGUAAGUUGCGAUGAGUUCUGGUUGGACUAUGAUAGUAGGUCUGUAAGACCUAGUAUUUGGAGAAUUUUCCCGUCGUUGACUACGGUGCCGACAAAUUCCCAACGGUUUUGGAUAACUUUUCAGAGUACUCAAGAAUUUCCACAUCACUAAUAGUGUGUCUCAGGAAAUCUGACUCUUAAUUCCAAAACUCAUGUUCAGAUAACUUUACGAAAAGUAUCUCCGAGGUUAAUGUUUCGAUGGGUUCUUUCUUACUACGAGGGUAGAUAAGUACGCCCUAUUUCCAUUUCCUCGUUGGGAUAUGGUCUGGUGGGAUCAGAUAUCCGUCCGAAGGUCGUUUGAUCAUUAAAUAUAUAUUAUGUAUACAGGUAUAGACAUAUAGGUUUACGUCAGUCAGUUUAUUUGAGAGUCUCUAUCAUUAGUCCAGUAUUUACAUCAGAACUCACUACACGAGAUGCAUCUUCAGGACACGGCCUUCUCCAUUGUCUAGUUGGUAACCAGAGUCUCCUGUAAGGAGAGCGGUCAUUGUGUGUAUAGAUCUAUACGAGAUUGACACCCCCACACCCUGACAACUAGCUACCGUCCACGGCCUACCAAGCCAAGGGGUGACAAAUGUCACAUUCUUUCCGACGCUUGCAGGGCGUCAAGUUCUCUAGUGUCUAUCAGUAUGGCUACGAGUAUCUCGGGGUUACCUUAUAAUUCAUGGCCUUAAGGUAACGGUAAUUAACACUGUAUUCACUGUUUUAGACCUUUCUAGACGUAUCAUUCAUUUGAUACUGUCUGGGGUCUGUAUUCACUGUUUUAGACCUUGCUUGACGUAUCAUUCAUUUGAUAUUGUAUGGGUUCUGUAUUCACUGUUUUUAGACCUUGCUAGACGUAUCAUUCAUUUGAUACUAUCUGGGGUCUGUGUCUCCUUUUGUUGGACUGAGCCAGGCGUGUCGUUCACUCGAUACUCUCCUGGAGUCUAUGAUUUCUUUGACUUAGUCAACAGUAUCUUCUACUGAGGCAUAUGUUAUUUUCCCUAAUGAUUUUACUUGUGAUAUCCUUCUACUUCCUUUAAAAUCAACUAGCGUAUUAUGGUGAUGAUAGUAUUUCAGGGAAAAUUACUCUUUAAAAACAUAACAUUGUCGGGUCUUGGUAGAAGACUGCUUUUAUUUAGAAAAUAUAGGAUUUUCUGGAAAGAACUCUAAUACACUGUUGACUCUAAACUACUACUUUUUAUAAAGUUAUUUGAAUAAAAUGACACUAAAUACUUAUGAACUCACCACCAUUUAUGAAAAUGCUGAUACUCGCUUUCAAAUAACUUGUAUUCUCAGGUCAGCAAUAGACAUGUACAUUCCAGGAGCUUUUGGUGAAGACAGUUUAGUACCAAGUUGCACCUAUAUUAUUACUUGUAUUACUUUGUUGUUUCUAUGUAAUGUAAACUAUGUAAAACUAUUACUAUUAAUGCAAUGGUUGUUGUACUUUGAUUACUAUACUGUAUUUGUUGUGAUACUUGACAUGAUGUCAUCCAUCCCAGAACGUUUCCACCGUUCCGGUUUUGGGGUGUGACAUAUUGGUAUCAGAGCAUUGUUUAUAGUGAGCUAAGUAUAUCAAUUCAUAAAAGAUAUACAGACUAUAAAUACUUAGGGAUAAAACACUCUGACCAAGAAUUAUACUUUAAAAUUUAACCAUAUUAUACCAAAGUAUAAGAACAUCCAGAAUCUAAACACUCGAACACAAGUAUCACAAGAAGAACAAGAAUAAAAGUCUUCGGAUGUUGAGCAUUACCGUCAAACCUGGGCAGUUAUGUAAUCGUAAGCUGGAAUAAAUGUAACCUGAUCAACUACAUUUAUUGGAGAUGCGAUGAACGUGUGCUUGGCAGUGAUAGUGGUGUUGCAACGAGUCUGAAACUUACCAACUAGGAAUGGUAGAGCCAAACAUAAAGUUUAAAAUACUAUGGGAGUAUCUUGGAAUACUAAAAGACUCACAUUAAUCCCAGAAUCAUAUUCAGAAAUUAAGAAACAAAGAAGAAAUUAAAAUACCAUAAGGGUAUUUUAGGAUCCAUAGAUAACCUUGUGUGAAGAACUAAAAAGAUCCUUAUUGAUAUACCUAGAAUUACAUAGGGUAUACUCCCAAGGUAAUAUAUAAUAAGGAUCCCAUAGGCUAAGAAUGUGUGGUUUCGCUCUACUUCCUUUUCCUCGUUGGGAUGUGGAUAUAGAGUAGUAUCACAUAUUCAAAGGUCUGUCGGAUCUAAGUUAUAUAUGAUUUGUAGACCCUAUGUAAUCGUAGAAGGACUCGAUAUAGAUCACUCAGUGAAAUGUUAAUAAUCUCUUAGGAUUCUUUAGACAUUUCCAUUCUCGCAUGAACCCUGUAGAAAACCCUAUCCACUUCAGUACUCGGAAGAAGAGUUGAUUCAGACCUAGAAGAGGUUCAUUGAGAAGAUUUCCAAUUCGGAAAUAAAUGAACUAAGUCGAGACUAUUGAAAUCACCAAGUGCCUAUAUCUUUUUAGCGACAUCGGUGAGAAAUUCGCCUAAACUUCCGAGAUUUCCAGUCAUCCAUCCUGAAGUGAUGACACCCUGAGUCAGAAUUCGAAGUAAGACGGAGUAGAAAUUCAAUAUGUCUAUAGGAGAAGAAAACCCUAGGUAACUACCCAAAGGGAACCAACGCCGGUCCCAGUCAAAGAUACGAGGUAGACAGAGGGAGCCAAUACAUGGAACCCGAGAAGUGUCUUUUCCUCGUGUUCGUCACACUAAUGCACCCAUAAAAUAAUACAAUUUAGUUAGUUAUUGAUUACACUACUCACACUAUGUGUUAGGAAAAUAGCCUUUUCCCGUUGCAAGUAAUACGAUUACAGCGGAUCCCCACACCUCUAUUGAGGAUGUUUAGCCAUAAGUCUUCAUGAGCAUUUCUUCCCACGGUCUUCGUUCCGAACAGUUCUCAAUUCUUUCCAAGCCGGAGAGUGAAACCUUUCCCAGUAUAAAGGUAACUUAGUAGGAACGACUCCCAUCUUUUGGCUUUUCCGACACUCAUACUCUUACCUUGAAUACCCGAACUACAUCAUAGGGUUGUAGGUUGACACUCAGACAACCAGUAUCCGAAGUGCGGGAAAAAUUUAUGCCUAAUAUAGUAAGGAUUGAUAUGUCCAGGGUUAACCAUCGUCUCUCAUCAGCUUGUGUACCUUUCCAUGUAGGAAAAACUAUGCCUCCGAAGAAGCGUAACCCAUCCACUGGCAAGAAACCGACUCUCCUAUUCGAUGAAGCUACGUUCCAAGUUGUAGUCUCGGCAGCUGUAGCAGCUAUCAUGGCUCAACUGAAUGCUAACAAUGUCAAUGUUAGCAAGAGCCCUAUCGGGAAUUCCGAUCCUAGUAAUAGACAGCAGCAGCCAACCUCUGUAUACCUAGCUACCCAUGAACCUCAACUAAAUCUACCGAAGAGAAAAGUCAAGAUCGAGGAGGGAAGUACCUCGGCUCAAGGACCUUCCGAAGGGCAACGAGCUGAGGCAGUCAAUAUCCCUGCCAACCCUUCCAUCCCGAAUUCAAGGAGACCAUACCUAGGAAGCCUUCCCCACUGCAGCAAGUGUAGUUACCACCAUCAUGGUAUAUGCCAGGAACUCUUCUGUGUUAGGUGCAACAGGAAGGGGCACACCUCUCGUACCUGCAGAGCCCCAGUUGAGUUCAUUACAUCGACCACCAAUGUGGCGGCCAGUCCAGUUUGCCGUCUAUGUGGUGAGAUUGGAUACUUCAAAAGGGACUGCCCAACUGAAGGAAACGAUAAGAACACAGGAGGAGUCUGACUCUACUGCUUAGGGAGAAGCAUCAAGGAAACAGGUAGAUUUUGGUACGUCUCUCAAUCUUAGAUAACUUACCGAAAACAUUAAAAGGCUAAUUCAAAAUGUAAUUAUUUCCCCAUUAAGGGGAAAGGCGUAGCACUGUUAUAAAAUUUAAAAUUUCAUGAGGUAAAACUAUAAUGGAUAGAUAUAUACAUUACGGCCAUGUAUAAUUGAGAUGGAUAGACCUAGAGUGAGUGAAUACCGCCUCAUUUCCUGUUCCUUGUUUGGUUGUGGAUUUAGGGCGGAGUCACUCAGUCAACAUUCCUUCCCACCUUAAUUAUACAUGACUAGUAUAUAUUAGGCAAUUAUUGAAAUGCCUCGUGAGAAUCCAUUCAUGAAAAGGUACUCUACUCAGAAACAUUCAGGACCCUCUAUAGUUCCGUGUCGACUCUAUCGGUCCAAGUAUCCGCAACAGUGAUACACGGGACGAAACCCGAGAUGCCUGGAACUGGUGUGCCCGUUCGGCACAGGACUCUAUCGACCCUCAUUCUAUAUCAAGUCGAAGUAUGCCAACUUCGACGCCUCUAUUAAUCAUGGUUCGACUUCGUUGAACCAUGUGUAAAUCCUUAGUGCUGUGUAAAAAGAACUUUCUCCAUAGUCAUAGUCAUUUCGGCAAAGAAAGACCCUUCGCACCUCGCAAAUCAGGUUCGUGAACCCAGAGUAUAGAACGCAUGGGACUAACCACUAUAACUGUGUAUAUGCAUGAAGGUGGUAUAUAAUUGAGAUAAAAAAGAUUUAAGAUGUGUCUUUCCUCCCUACUCCCUGUUCCUCGUUGGGUUGUGGGUAUGGGGUGGAGUCGCACAACUGAACAUCCUGCCGACCUCAAUUAUAUACGGCUUGCAUACGCCAUGUAAUAGUGGUUAAGCCGAGUAUCAGCUCUACCACGAAUCUCAUAGUAAAACCCUUCAUCCUAUCCCACGGAAUAGGAGCUAGAGUCAAGAGAACCCCUGCAAGUUGAGCUACUAUAAUGACCACAAAUCCGAAGUUUGUUGUCAUCCCGAUUAAGCCAACAUAGUAGCUAACACCCUCAGUUGGUAAAGAAAUCUGAGUCGUAAGAGUCAAGGAAAUUGACUACGACCAUCCAUUCUCGCUUAAUUUUCCCGAAUUAAGCAUCUCAGCGGAUAUCCUGGAAAUCCAGAAGCUACGUGAUGUGCACAAAAGUACCCACUAAUUUUAAUAUUUAUAACUUAACAAACUUAGAUUAUCUAUGCACAUAUAGGCAGUGUACCUAGUCAGAUUACAGUAUAGCUUAGGUAAGUCGGGUGUCGAUCACAGGGAACGGUGGAUUAAUUUAAUAUAUUUAAUUAUAGGUUACAUGUUACACGAAAAGAAUAAAUAAAUAUCAAACUAACAAUUAAUUAACUACUCNAAAACAUAGACAAUUGCAUACACAAAUUCAUUUAUUCAUGUUCACCGAUUCCUAAAAUGAUUAGAUUCGCGUUCACUAUAACUAAUCCUUUAGCAAACAAGUCAAUUCAAACAGUGAUCAGUUGAUUAAACUAACAUGCUUCCUAGUGUUCAGUUCGUAUCAAGCAAGACUUGUAAAUAUUGUUAAUCGAAUUAUUAAUUCAAUUUAACCUCUUGUUGAUGGUCAUCAAAGAAGGCUCACACAUUAACUUACUUAUUCUCAAGUUAAUCCUAGUUUCACAUUCGUUAUUUCUAGACUUAUAAUCUCGAUGGUCAUCAAAAAUCAUAAGAGACAAGCAAAUCAAGCAGAUGUUCAUGCAACUUAAUUCACUUAACAAUUAACAGAAAAUAAUCAUCAUUAACACAUAAGGAUCUUUUAACAAGCUUGGCAAGAUAAAUUGAACAUAAAUAAACAAUUCAAUAUAGCAAUUAGUCUAAUAAUCAAAGCUUCAUUCAAUCAUAAACACAAAGUAAAAGGUUUUUACACCCAAAUCAGAAACUAUAUAUACAGAAAAGUACCACAAUGGAAUGCUAAACAUGGUCACGUUAGCAAUCCAUAUGAUUACCGACAUGUAUCCGCUAUCCAAUCCUUCCGAUCUCCGCUUCCGUUAGCUUAACGGCCUUUUGGCCACCUCCUUGACUCUCAAAACGGCAACUAUGAAGUUUUCUUGUUGCACAAGUCGAAGUGGAAUAUCAUAGAUUAUGAAACUGGUGGAAUGAUAUGGGGUAUUUAUAGUUGAUGGAGAUGUAAUUAUAUGGAAUAUUAGAGUUGGAUUGGAAUAUGGAAACUAAUGUGGCUUAGGGAUUAAGCAAAUAAAGAUAAGGAAAGUGGUGCUUGGGGAAUAAGUUACUUGGAGGGAAUUUCCUUCCAGCUUUUAUGCUUCAUCUUCAAGGCCGAUUUUGGAUAAUAUAUGUCUCGAAUUAACCAAAAGUCUCUAUCACAUCAGUCGUAGGAAAUUUCGUCUAGUUUUCAGAACAUUUUGAAUCUCGUCAAUUGGACUUGUGAGUCAUCAGAUAUACCCGAAACACUGAAGAGGGGUCAAUCUGCCAGCAAUAUCCUUUUUGCAUCUUUUCAGCUCCAUUAUCUUUCUUUUGCAUUCCAUCUCCCAUUUUAACCAUAAUUAAAUAUUUCAAAGCAUAUUAAGUGUAUUUUAGUUCUAAAUAAUAAUAAUAAAGGCUAUAAUAUUAAGAUAUUUUUCAGACAAAUAUAUAUAAAAACACACAUAUCAAAAUACCCCACACUUAGCCUUUGCUUGCCCCCAAGCAAAUUUACUUUUAAUUUUAUUUUACCAAUAUCGCACUAAACAAUCCAUUUAAAACUCAGCCAUUAUGCCAAGACCUCAACGCAUGCAUUUGUGUCUAAAAUUUUCCUAAAGUACCCCCCAUACUUUAAAUACUCACAAUCUUCAUAAACACUUGCCCACUUUUUCCGAACAAUGCUCAUUUUAUGCAACCCUCCGAAUCCAUCCGCAGAAAACCUCCUAACCUCAAGGUAUUUUUAGUUGAGCAACCUAAGCAUACAUAAUCUAGAAUUACAACUUUUCGAUACCACUAUGGAGCUCUUUUGGAAUUCUUCAAUUCUUUGACAUUUGAUCUUUGAUUUCUUUGAAUUCACCACCUUUGUUGAUUUGAUUUCUGGUAUCUUCAACUUUUUGGAUUUCUUCAGAAUUUUGAUCUUUUGAUCUUCACUUUAUUUGCUCCAAAAUUCUUCNUUUUUUUUACACUCAAUACCUACAUGCUUAAGCAGGGGCGCUUAACUUCAACCAUUAUUGGUUAAAGGUAUUAGUCUAAGUGCAAUGACUACAUAAGCUCUCCUAGAUAGAUUUCAGGUUUAGGCUGCAAAACAUAUUAUGCCAUAUAAACUACUAGAUUACCUUUCAUAUCUCAUGACUUUUCACUAGGAAAUGGGAAGCCACAAAUACACUAUAACAUGUGUAGGCUCAGGUAAACAUUUGGGUUCUCAUUGGAUCAUCACAUACAAUAUUAGCAAAAUUUUAAAUUAUCACUAGAUUUUCUUAAAUUAAACUAUUAUUUCAAGUUUAUAAUUUUUUUUAAAUUUUCCUAAUCUAGUAAUUUUUAAUUUUCUUUUCCGACCCCCUACCCCACACUUAUUUAAUACAAUGCCCUCAUUGUAUGCAUAAAAUUAAUUAAGCUCAUGAAAAUAAUAAAAACGAAGAAAAAAGAAUAGACUCCCCUGGGGUAGUAGUGACGAGAUCGAAUGGGGCUGCUAAAAGCUGCUCUGAAAAUUGCUGGAAGACUGGAAACUGGAACUGCUGCUUCUGAAUGUGCCGGAAAAUACAAAAGAACAUUGACUUCUGAAAUGUGGUGCAAACGAUUGCAAGCUAAAGCAAUAUAUAGUGACCAUGACGUGGGAAAGUGUCAACCACGUCGUGUCGUCGAGUGAGGAAAAAUCCAUAUCGCGAAUAAUAGCAUGGCCACGACGUAGUAAGUGGUGGUCACGUCGUGGUAUGUAGAAUAGCAGCCUCCUCUCGUGAUGAAAAACUCCCCCACGACAUAGGAAAGUGUCAACCAUGUCAUGGCAGCCGGGAUGAUACUUCUACAUUGCAUCAAAAUAAAACUCCAUGGUGUGGGAUCAGCUCAUCCAUGCCAUGGGAAUCAAUGUAUAGUUAGAAACGCCACUCUUCGAAAUAAUAAUCUCUCCAAAUAUCGACGCGCACCCCACACUAAUUGAAAGUCAUGGCUCUCAAGUGUCAACUUCAAACUCUCACACGGUUUUUUCUCUCGUGACAAAUCAACAUUCGACCUUAAUUAUUGAAAUUUCUGAAAGCAUCUGAAGGGUAAAAGUUUUGCAAAGAUCUGAAACAUCAAGAGCAUCAACAUGGAAAACAAAAUUUAAACAAACUAAAAAUAAAAAUAAAAACUCACUAAAAUAACUAAAAAAACAAAAUAACUAAAAAGGAUAUCACAAUCACUCGUCUUCGUCGAAAUCUAGCAACAAUUGUUGAUUAAAUCCCUUGAUGCAAGAGGUGGUUUGUGAAAACAAAAACUUUCGGGACCUGUCAGACUAUUUCCUUUGUUUUCUUUGCACCAUUAACUAAAAAGUAGAACAAGAGUCGACCCAACUAGUCAAGAGUAGCCAGAGUUCGGUCUUCCACUUAACCACCUUGAUACGCCUUGCUAUACUACGCCUCGUGGAUUGAGUUGGACAAAUCACCCAAAGUAGUAGACUAAACAAGUCAAGAAUUCCCUAAUCGCUUGCAAUCUCGAAACCCAUGCAAAAGAUAAAACCAAACAAUGUGUAUGAUCACGAAUUCCUGCACAUAGCAACAAAAACCUUCCCGACAAGUGAAAUGAUAUCAACGAAAAUAAAACUAUAAAAAAAUGAAAAUAAAUAAAAAACUAACUAAAAACAAAUAAUGAAUAAUCAAAUAAACUAAAUNNNNNNNNNNNNNNNNNNNNNNNNNNNNNNNNNNNNNNNNNNNNNNNNNNNNNNNNNNNNNNNNNNNNNNNNNNNNNNNNNNNNNNNNNNNNNNNNNNNNCAGGUUCAUUUGCACAAGAUUGAGAUAGACACUCUGCAACAAACAAAUACCCAUAGAUACGCAAUCCAUCCGAUGAUCUAGAAAAUCUCGGAGACCCAAUCAACAUGAACACGAAUCCAAGGACAACCCGAGCUUUCUAUGAAACAACCUAAAGGACUACACUUCUAGUAUGAGAGAGAACGUUGGAACUUUGGAAUGGCGAUCACGUCAGUGAUGAUCUCGCCAUAGAAGUACACUAUGUUCUAAGUACUGAAAAGCUCUACCCUUCUGAGAGCUUAGAACCAUCCAAUAUUCUUUACGGAGAUUGGUCCAACCAUCGUCAGGCCACUACUACUUUCGGAAAUUCCACAAGUUUUACCACAGAUCAAUCCACUUCUUAGACAUUGAUAAGUGUUUUCCCGACGUCACUCUUUGUAUCCCACUCAACUUUAUAAAAACCAUUGGGAACCCCAACUUCGUAGAUGAACCUGUAGUAAUUGCUAUCGGCACGAGACAGAAUCCGCAUCCCGUAAGUGAAGUUUUCUUAGAACGCCAAGCAAAGGCCAGAGUUCACUUGGGAGUGCAAGGACCAGCCUAAUAGGAAGUACCCUCAUCUUAUUAAUUAAUCAUUCAUACCUACUUCUUUUACGGUCUUCGGAGCCUCCCGAAACCAUAAACCUCUUUGAAGAGGGUUUUAAUGCUCAAAAAACCUUC